Molecule: long non-coding RNA, 618 nt
Filed under: Equus caballus (horse)
Lineage: Eukaryota; Metazoa; Chordata; Mammalia; Perissodactyla; Equidae
Description: lncRNA (ENSECAG00000057777.1)
Source: RNAcentral
CUUCCUUCACCUGCCUGGAGGAGUGAACACCAACAAAUUGACGUUGAGGCAGCUUCUUUCUUUCCUACAUGCUGGCCUUCAACCUCACUGAAAGAUGAGACUGAGGCACAGACGUAGGAUGCUGAAAGAGCAUGGAAGAACCUAGCAGAUGAGAGCAAGGAGCAGCAGAAGGUGGCAGCACUCUUGCUCCACACCCAGACUCUGCGCAAUUUACACAUGGGAAAGAUUGGAAAGGUCAUGUGACGUCAGCUUGGCCCACACAUUGGAAUGGGAAUCUGUUGGCAAAGUGAAAAUUAUUGGUCUCGCAAAACUGAGAUGGGAACAUCGACCUGAAAAGAAUGCAUCUUAUGGUUUUUACAAUGCCAUUUAGGAAUAUGACAUGAAUAUCCCAAAGUACAGAUGUAAGAAUGUGAAUUUUAAGUUCAAUAGAGAAGAAGGGAGAGAAAGAGAUAGAAAGGAGGAGAGGAAAAGACAGCAUGCCAUUUUUCAAGACGUAACUCUUAGCAUCUCUUUUUCUUUCCCGGAAAGUACUGAAUAUUGAUAAGAAUUGUGAAGACUCUGAGGCCUCCCAGUAUUUUGGAGAACAUUUCACAAAGCAAACUUUAGUCAUGUAAAAUG